UGGUGGAGUGAUUUGUCUGGUUUAUUCCGUUAACGAACGAGACCUCAGCCUACUAAAUAGUUGGGUUAUUCUACGGAAUGAUUAUCAACUUCUUAGAGGGACUUUUGGUGUUCAGCCAAAGGAAGUUUGAGGCAAUAACA
This 140-nucleotide ribosomal RNA is filed under the name uncultured eukaryote. RNAcentral's name for it is "partial 18S ribosomal RNA". It matches the Rfam family "Eukaryotic small subunit ribosomal RNA", at positions 1299 to 1458 of the family's 1831-position model. The record is from RNAcentral.